GACGAACGCUGGCGGCGUGCUUAACACAUGCAAGUCGAACGGAAAGGCCCUGCUUUUGUGGGGUGCUCGAGUGGCGAACGGGUGAGUAACACGUGAGUAACCUGCCCCUGACUUUGGGAUAACUUCAGGAAACUGGGGCUAAUACCGGAUAGGAGCUCCUGCUGCAUGGUGGGGGUUGGAAAGUUUCUGCGGUUGGGGAUGGACUCGCGGCUUAUCAGCUUGUUGGUGGGGUAGUGGCUUACCAAGGCUUUGACGGGUAGACGGCCUGAGAGGGUGACCGGCCACAUUGGGACUGAGAUACGGCCCGGACUCCUACGGGAGGCAGCAGUGGGGAAUAUUGCACAAUGGGCGGAAGCCUGAUGCAGCAACGCCGCGUGCGGGAUGACGGCCUUCGGGUUGUAAACCGCUUUCGCCUGUGACGAAGCGUGAGUGACGGUAAUGGGUAAAGAAGCACCGGCUAACUACGUG
Molecule: ribosomal RNA, 468 nt
Filed under: uncultured bacterium
Lineage: Bacteria
Description: partial 16S ribosomal RNA
Rfam family: Bacterial small subunit ribosomal RNA
Source: RNAcentral